This 1807-nucleotide long non-coding RNA is filed under the name Mytilus galloprovincialis (Mediterranean mussel). Lineage: Eukaryota; Metazoa; Mollusca; Bivalvia; Mytilida; Mytilidae. The record is from RNAcentral.
AUUUCAAGAUUUACAAGGUGUAACAACAGAUAAUGAGGGGAAUGUCUAUGUGAAUGGUCGGAGGACACACACUGUAUUCGUUGUAUCAGAUGAUGGUAAACAUCAUAGAGAACUUCUUACUGUAUCAGAUGGAUUGUAUCAGCCGCGUGGAAUUUAUUUUGACAAAAAAGAAAAUAUUCUGCUUGUUUGUAAUGAAAGAAACGGAAAAGCUUUUCUUUUUGACGUGAAAAAGAACAAAAAUAAACAUGAAUAAUUCUAUCAGACAAUGAGUUUAUUUGGACUUGGAUCUAUUUGUGUAUUUUGUCAAUCAAAAUGAUUUCUAUUAAUUUUUGUUUUCUAUACUAUCAAUCUUAAUUACAUUUUGUAUAUUUUUUUUUCUUUACUAUUAGUUUAACUUAUUUGCUUGUCAUGAUCUGUACAGUUGUAUUCUGACAAUACAUCAAUAUACUGCUGCUCGUUAGAUGGAAAGUCAAUGUGGAAUGUUUAUAAAAAUGAUGAAAUUCAAUAUUUACAAGGUGUGACAACAGAUGAUGAGGGGAAUGUGUAUGUGACUAAUGAGAUGGCAAACACUGUAAUAGUUGUAUCUGAUGAUUGUGAACAUUAUAAAGAACUUCUUACUGAAUCAAAUGGAUUGAAUGAGCCGUUUGGAAUUUAUUUUGACAAAACUGAAAAUAUUCUGCUUGUUUGUAAUGAAAGAGACGGAAAUGCAUUUCUUUUUGACGUGAUAAAGAAAUUAACAUAAAUAAACAUAAAUAAUUCUUUCAGACAAUGAGUUGAUUCAAACUCAAUCUAUUUGUGCAUUUAGUUAUUCAAAACAACUUGUAUCAUUUUUUGUUUUCUUUACUAUCAAUCUAACUUAAAUGAAUUUCAUUUUAUGUACAGAAAAACAAAAUUAACACUUUUAUUUCAUGUGUGACAAAAGGGUAACUUGAUAUGGAAAUUUAAUGAAAUAUUACAAUUGUUUAAUUGAUUAACACCAAUUGAUAGUUGAAGACUAAAAAAAAAUUAAAAAUAUAUUUCAUGAUAUCUUUUUAAACCAUAUAUCACUAGUUUUAAUAUUAGUCAUAUGUAUGUCCUCAAUAAGUUUUUUAUUCGAAACAUAUACGGAUGUAAUGGUUGUAAACAAAUUCGAAAUAAAUUACACAUCGUAUUAUGUCGUUGGGUUGCUGUAUAUUGGGCGAUAAACGCUUUAAUUUCAUCUGUGACAACAAAUCAAUUUAAAUUUUAUAAUAAAUUUAGAGAAAUGUUACAAAGACAUAAUGUUCUUUGAUUAACAUCCACUUUCUGUUUCAGAGAAAACCAUGACUCAAGAUAGACUUCAUCAUAUCCUUGAAAACUUUUUAAAGAAUUUUAGUCAUAUAUGUGUCUCCUUAUUAAUUUGUCGGAUGUGUAGUUAAAAUCAGAGUAGAUUCACAAUUCUUUGGUGUCGUCGGGUUGCUUGUCUUAUGGACUGAUACUUCUUUUUUCUUACAUUUGUGUGGAAUGAGGGUGUGGAUGAGGUUCUUCAUUUUUUAUUCGUUAUACUGUUUGUUCAUUAUUUUCUAUUCUUUAUCAUGGUUUAUAUUGUAGCACCUCAUUAUUCCCUAUUUGUUUGUAAAAAAAUGGCGUGGCUCUGUACUUAAACAUCCUGUCAUUGUGUUAUUGUUCUAUAAUACAUUUUGUAUUUUUGUCUUUUAUUAUUGCUAAUAUGCUUUGUCUAUAUAUGCCUUAUUGCGUUCCUCUGUUACAUAUUACGUGGCUUUGUACUUAUACACCCCGUCAUUGUGUUAUUGUCCAUGGUGUUUAAAAAAUAUAAUCACGAAAAGAG